UCUUGAGAUUCUAUAGCUUUCUGCAAAAAUGGCAUCCAAUGCGAUAAACUCUUCGAUGAUGACGGUAAAUUUGCAGCUUGCCGAUAUUUUUCAAUACGUCGGAGGAGGAAGCAGGUUGAUAGUCGAAGGUUCCCUUCAGUUCCAUUGCUUACAGUAACAGAUUUGCAACAAAAGUGGGGUAAAAUUGCAGAAAAAGUUGCUGACGAUAUGUACAAGACAACACCAUUGACCGCAUUCUGCAAAAAAAAUUACGAAUACA
Toxorhynchites rutilus septentrionalis is the source of this 259-nucleotide long non-coding RNA. RefSeq lists it as uncharacterized. The record is from RefSeq and is a predicted model, not a curated record. NCBI's taxonomy places the organism in Eukaryota, Metazoa, Arthropoda, Insecta, Diptera, Culicidae. The transcript is spliced from 3 exons.